GUCGAACGAUGAUGCCCAGCUUGCUGGGUGGAUUAGUGGCGAACGGGUGAGUAACACGUGAGUAACCUGCCCCUGACUCUGGGAUAAGCGUUGGAAACGACGUCUAAUACUGGAUAUGACUGCCGGCCGCAUGGUCUGGUGGUGGAAAGAUUUUUUGGUUGGGGAUGGACUCGCGGCCUAUCAGCUUGUUGGUGAGGUAAUGGCUCACCAAGGCGACGACGGGUAGCCGGCCUGAGAGGGUGACCGGCCACACUGGGACUGAGACACGGCCCAGACUCCUACGGGAGGCAGCAGUGGGGAAUAUUGCACAAUGGGCGAAAGCCUGAUGCAGCAACGCCGCGUGAGGGAUGACGGCCUUCGGGUUGUAAACCUCUUUUAGUAGGGAAGAAGCGUAAGUGACGGUACCUGCAGAAAAAGCACCGGCUAACUACGUGCCAGCAGCCGCGGUAAUACGUAGGGUGCAAGCGUUGUCCGGAAUUAUUGGGCGUAAAGAGCUCGUAGGCGGUUUGUCGCGUCUGCUGUGAAAUCCCGAGGCUCAACCUCGGGCUUGCAGUGGGUACGGGCAGACUAGAGUGCGGUAGGGGAGAUUGGAAUUCCUGGUGUAGCGGUGGAAUGCGCAGAUAUCAGGAGGAACACCGAUGGCGAAGGCAGAUCUCUGGGCCGUAACUGACGCUGAGGAGCGAAAGCGUGGGGAGCGAACAGGAUUAGAUACCCUGGUAGUCCACGCCGUAAACGUUGGGCGCUAGAUGUAGGGACCUUUCCACGGUUUCUGUGUCGUAGCUAACGCAUUAAGCGCCCCGCCUGGGGAGUACGGCCGCAAGGCUAAAACUCAAAGGAAUUGACGGGGGCCCGCACAAGCGGCGGAGCAUGCGGAUUAAUUCGAUGCAACGCGAAGAACCUUACCAAGGCUUGACAUACACCGGAAACGGCCAGAGAUGGUUGCCCCCUUGUGGUCGGUGUACAGGUGGUGCAUGGUUGUCGUCAGCUCGUGUCGUGAGAUGUUGGGUUAAGUCCCGCAACGAGCGCAACCCUCGUUCUAUGUUGCCAGCGCGUUAUGGCGGGGACUCAUAGGAGACUGCCGGGGUCAACUCGGAGGAAGGUGGGGAUGACGUCAAAUCAUCAUGCCCCUUAUGUCUUGGGCUUCACGCAUGCUACAAUGGCCGGUACAAAGGGCUGCGAUACCGUAAGGUGGAGCGAAUCCCAAAAAGCCGGUCUCAGUUCGGAUUGAGGUCUGCAACUCGACCUCAUGAAGUCGGAGUCGCUAGUAAUCGCAGAUCAGCAACGCUGCGGUGAAUACGUUCCCGGGCCUUGUACACACCGCCCGUCAAGUCAUGAAAGUCGGUAACACCCGAAGCCGGUGGCCUAACCCUUGUG
Molecule: ribosomal RNA, 1374 nt
Filed under: unidentified
Description: bacterial SSU rRNA
Rfam family: Bacterial small subunit ribosomal RNA
Source: RNAcentral